UUAUUAUCAUCUAAUAUUUGAAAGACAAGUGAAUAAUUAGAUUGAUUUUAUUUUGUUAGUGUUGUAUCCACUCCCCAGAAGUCUAUGGCAGAUGGAUAAUAAACCUAUAAAGCUUUAUUUGUGUCAUUCUGUCAUGGCAGCAUUGCUUCUGCACCAUUGUACCACAACAAUUUUGCGAAGUAUGCAAAUCAUAUAAGAAAGAAUCUAGUGUAGCAACCAAUCACUAUCAGAAAAAAAGAUGUUGUGUAAUCUUGUGAUGCAAAUAUUUGUUUUUAUUUUAUCAUUGAUGUGAGAAUUUCUAACAAGGAUUAAGUUGUGUUUACACAGGUCAAGCAGUCUGAGACGGAG
Molecule: unclassified non-coding RNA, 348 nt
Filed under: Hevea brasiliensis (rubber tree)
Lineage: Eukaryota; Viridiplantae; Streptophyta; Magnoliopsida; Malpighiales; Euphorbiaceae
Source: RNAcentral